CCAAUCCAAGCAGUGCAAGAAACGACCACAGCAAUAGCAACAACAAACAACAGGCAAUAUCCAUAAAUCCCAUGCAAGUCAAGGUACAGGGGCUACUACUAGCAUAAUACGAAGAAUGAAAGAAUGCAUAAUAAAGAAUGAAAUAACAAAGGUUAGAAGUCACCGGAUUACGCUUGUAGACCAAGCUGGAAACCAAGCCCAGCAUUGACCGGCGUCCGGGGAGUUCCGGUGCUGAGAUGGAGCUGCGGCUGCUGGAGACCGAGGGAACUGGUCGGAACUGGUCAUCGUUUGGAUGCUGCGGCUGCUGGCUACCGGGCGGCGGGUGCAGACGGAGCGGCGGCUGAAGACAGAGCUUCGGCUGUUGGGCUGUUGUACCCCGCCGGCGC
Molecule: long non-coding RNA, 386 nt
Filed under: Capsicum annuum
Lineage: Eukaryota; Viridiplantae; Streptophyta; Magnoliopsida; Solanales; Solanaceae
Description: long non-coding RNA (CANN_LNC017341)
Source: RNAcentral